RNAcentral lists this signal recognition particle RNA (102 nucleotides) under Clostridium sp. KLE 1755. Its description in RNAcentral is "Bacterial signal recognition particle RNA". It matches the Rfam family "Bacterial small signal recognition particle RNA". Rfam says of the family: The signal recognition particle (SRP) is a universally conserved ribonucleoprotein involved in the co-translational targeting of proteins to membranes. Lineage: Bacteria; Bacillati; Bacillota; Clostridia; Eubacteriales; Clostridiaceae. The record is from RNAcentral.
AGUUUGGGUCUUACGCAACGGAUGUCUGCGAACCGUGUCAGGUUGGGAACAAAGCAGCACUAAGCAGAAUUUUCCGUGUGCCGUGAGGGUGCCUGGCGGAGU